RNAcentral lists this ribosomal RNA (462 nucleotides) under uncultured bacterium. Its description in RNAcentral is "partial 16S ribosomal RNA". It matches the Rfam family "Bacterial small subunit ribosomal RNA", at positions 339 to 795 of the family's 1533-position model. The record is from RNAcentral.
CUACGGGAGGCAGCAGUGGGGAAUAUUGGACAAUGGGCGAAAGCCUGAUCCAGCAAUGCCGCGUGUGUGAAGAAGGCCUGAGGGUUGUAAAGCACUUUCAGUAGUGAAGAAGUAUUAGAUGCUAAUAUCAUCUGGUAUUGACGUUAAUUACAGAAGAAGCACCGGCUAACUCUGUGCCAGCAGCCGCGGUAACACAGAGGGUGCUAGCGUUAUCGGAUUUACUGGGCGUAAAGCGUGCGUAGGUGGUUAAAUAAGUCAGGUGUGAAAGCCCGAGCUCAACUUGGGAAUGGCGCUUGAUACUAUUUAUCUAGAGUAGUGUAGAGGAAAGUGGAAUUUCCGGUGUAGCGGUGAAAUGCGUAGAUAUCGGGAAGAACACCAGUGGCGAAGGCGACUUUCUGGACAAAUACUGACACUGAGGUACGAAAGCGUGGGGAGCGAACAGGAUUAGAUACCCUUGUAGUC